AGGGAAGCAGCGGCCGCCAUUUCAGGGAGCUUGUCGACGCUGUCGCAGGGGUGGAUCCUGAGCUGCCGAAGCCGCCGUCCUGCUCUCCCGCGUGGGCUUCUCUAAUUCCAUUGUUUUUUUUAGAUUCUCUCGGGCCUAGCCGUCCUUGCAACCCGAUAUUCGGGCUGGGCGGUUCCGCGGCCUGGGCCUAGGGGCUUCACAGUAGCAACAGAAGCGGCGGCGGCGGCAGCAGCAGCAGCAGCAGCAGCAAUCUCUUCCCGAACACGAGCACCACAGGCGCCCGAAGGCCGGAACAGGCGUUUAGAGAAAAUGGCAGACGAUAUUGAUAUUGAAGCAAUGCUUGAGGCUCCUUACAAGAAGGAUGAGAACAAGUUGAGCAGUGCCAACGGCCAUGAAGAACGUAGCAAAAAAAUACUUUGCAUUAAAAAUUUAGAUCUUCUUACAUGGAAGAGGUCAAAUCCAGUUAUAGCAAAACACCUUUACUGCAGAGGCCAUAUAACCAAAAAGUCCAAAGGCCCAGCCCAGUGGACCAUUUACUUCAGUGAUGUUCAGUACAAAAUUUCACUGCCAUUAAAGACUUUGGAAAGUCCCUUUUAAGUUGUAACAGGAUUUGACUAUUAGUGUGGAUUUCGAUAACCCUUCUUUAGUUAAUGUAAUAAAUGCUCUUUGAAGCUGGAAAUAUACUGGUUUCUUGCAUCCUUAUAGUUUUCUCUGGGCUUUUAUGCAAAAGAUUGUAUUUUCUGAAUGUCUUAGUAUGUUGCUGUCUUUUUACCUGCCUGGGGUUGCCUUCAGAUGUGGGUGAGGACUUGUUUACAAAAAGUCCUAGAAGACCUUAAGUUAAAAUUAGCUCUCCAAUUUUCAAGUAUUUUCUUUUGGCAGAAUAAGUUUUGGGUCCUAUGAGAGGUAAAUAGGUUGGUUGCCUCUCUUGCUAUAGCCCAUCUAGAGCACAACAAAAACUUUGUUUUUGAGGGGGAUGGAGUUACUUUUUACCUUGUCCCCUAAUUGAAUAUAUUUAGGACUUUUGGUUUUAGAAAUCUCAGAGUUCUAUAGUUGGAAUAGUGUCACAGAGAUAGUGUUAGGUUUCUUAGGCAACAAAAUUGGAGUGUUACCUAUUGCCCAUCUGGGCAUGGCUUUGAUGAGUUCCAUAUAAAUAAUGAGUGUAGCCUAAUUUUCUGUCAUGUGCUACCUAGCAUAUACAUUUCUGACAGUCAGGUGGAUUAUCUUGAAAUUUUAGACAAACUUUCUGCCUCCUUGGAAAGCUCUACAUCUCCUUGUGAUUGGAGUGUGGGUUUCAAGAUUCCAGAAGGAGGAAAAAAAGCAAGAGCAGAAGUCGUAGUCAUGAACGAAAGAGAAGCAAAAGUAAGGAACGGAAGCGAAGUAGAGACAGAGAAAGGAAAAAGAGCAAAAGCCGUGAAAGAAAGCGAAGUAGAAGCAAGGAGAGGCGACGGAGCCGCUCAAGAAGUCGAGAUCGAAGAUUUAGAGGCCGCUACAGAAGUCCUUACUCCGGACCAAAAUUUAACAGUGCCAUCCGAGGAAAGAUUGGGUUGCCUCAUAGCAUCAAAUUAAGCAGACGACGUUCCCGAAGCAAAAGUCCAUUCAGAAAAGACAAGAGCCCUGUGAGAGAACCUAUUGAUAAUUUAACUCCUGAGGAAAGAGAUGCAAGGACAGUCUUCUGUAUGCAGCUGGCGGCAAGAAUUCGACCAAGGGAUUUGGAAGAGUUUUUCUCUACAGUAGGAAAGGUGCGAGAUGUGAGGAUGAUUUCUGACAGAAAUUCAAGACGUUCCAAAGGAAUUGCUUAUGUGGAGUUCGUCGAUGUUAGCUCAGUGCCUCUAGCAAUAGGAUUAACUGGCCAACGAGUUUUAGGCGUGCCAAUCAUAGUACAGGCAUCACAGGCAGAAAAAAACAGAGCUGCAGCAAUGGCAAACAAUUUACAAAAGGGAAGUGCUGGACCUAUGAGGCUUUAUGUGGGCUCAUUACACUUCAACAUAACUGAAGAUAUGCUUCGUGGGAUCUUUGAGCCUUUUGGAAGAAUUGAAAGUAUCCAGCUGAUGAUGGACAGUGAAACUGGUCGAUCCAAGGGAUAUGGAUUUAUUACAUUUUCUGACUCAGAAUGUGCCAAAAAGGCUUUGGAACAACUUAAUGGAUUUGAACUAGCAGGAAGACCAAUGAAAGUUGGUCAUGUUACUGAACGUACUGAUGCUUCGAGUGCUAGUUCAUUUUUGGACAGUGAUGAACUGGAAAGGACUGGAAUUGAUUUGGGAACAACUGGUCGUCUUCAGUUAAUGGCAAGACUUGCAGAGGGUACAGGUUUGCAGAUUCCGCCAGCAGCACAGCAAGCUCUACAGAUGAGUGGCUCUUUGGCAUUUGGUGCUGUGGCAGAUUUGCAAACAAGACUUUCCCAGCAGACUGAAGCUUCAGCUUUAGCUGCAGCUGCCUCUGUUCAGCCACUUGCAACACAAUGUUUCCAACUCUCUAACAUGUUUAACCCUCAAACAGAAGAAGAAGUUGGAUGGGAUACCGAGAUUAAGGAUGAUGUGAUUGAAGAAUGUAAUAAACAUGGAGGAGUUAUUCAUAUUUAUGUUGACAAAAAUUCAGCUCAGGGCAAUGUGUAUGUGAAGUGCCCAUCAAUUGCUGCAGCUAUUGCUGCUGUCAAUGCAUUGCAUGGCAGGUGGUUUGCUGGUAAAAUGAUAACAGCAGCAUAUGUACCUCUUCCAACUUACCACAACCUGUUUCCUGAUUCUAUGACAGCAACACAACUACUGGUUCCAAGUAGACGAUGAAGGAAGAUAUAGUCCCUUAUGUAUAUAGCUUUUUUUCUUUCUUGAGAAUUCAUCUUGAGUUAUCUUUUAUUUAGAUAAAAAUAAAGAGGCAAGGAUCUACUGUCAUUUGUAUACAAUUUCCUGUUACCUUGAAAAAAUAAAAAUGUUAACAGGAAUGCAGUGUGCUCAUUCUCCCUAAAUAGUAAAUCCCACUGUAUACAAAACUGUUCUCUUGUUCUGCCUUUUAAAAUGUUCAUGUAGAAAAUUAAUGAACUAUAGGAAUAGCUCUAGGAGAACAAAUGUGCUUUCUGUAAAAAGGCAGACCAGGGAUGUAAUGUUUUUAAUGUUUCAGAAGCCUAACUUUUUACACAGUGGUUACAUUUCACAUUUCACUAAUGUUGAUAUUUGGCUGAUGGUUGAGCAGUUUCUGAAAUACACAUUUAGUGUAUGGAAAUACAAGACAGCUAAAGGGCUGUUUGGUUAGCAUCUCAUCUUGCAUUCUGAUCAAUUGGCAAGAAAGGGAGAUUUCAAAAUUAUAAUAUUUCUUGAUGGUAUCUUUUCAAUUAAUGUAUCUGUAAAAGUUUCUUUGUAAAUACUAUGUGUUCUGGUGUGUCUUAAAAUUCCAAACAAAAUGAUCCCUGCAUUUCCUGAAGAUGUUUAAACGUGAGAGUCUGGUAGGCAAAGCAGUCUGAGAAAGAAAUAGGAAAUGCAGAAAUAGGUUUUGUCUGGUUGCAUAUAAUCUUUGCUCUUUUUAAGCUCUGUGAGCUCCGAAAUAUAUUUUUGGGUUACUUCAGUGUGUUUGACAAGACAGCUUGAUAUUUCUAUCAAACAAAUGACUUUCAUAUUGCAACAAUCUUUGUAAGAACCACUCAAAUAAAAGUCUCUUAAAAAGGCCACAGGAGAUCUUCAUUUUUCAAAUGUUUUAAAGUUACAGAAAUUUGAGAAUAGAAUUAGCUUCUUUUAGUCUCAAUUCAGUACUUGCCUCUUGGGGGGGAAAAUGUUCCGAGUCUGCGGAUACUUGCCCUCACGUUGUCCCCCAUGAAUUCCUUUAUUCCAUUAAGAGUCUAGCCCUGUGUAUUUUAGAAGAAUGUAUCAAAACUGAGGGGUUUACCAAAAAGAAAAGGAAACAGCCUGCCCUUAAAACCUGGGCAUUCUUGGUCUCCUGCAUUGUCUGGGCAUAUUUAUGAAGAAAUUUUCACCAUUUACAAUACAUACUUAACAAAAUGGCUUAACUUCAAACUGGCUUCCAAAAUUGAUUUAUAUAUUAAUAUAUUAAAUAAGGUGCAUAUAUUACUGUAUUAAGGGGUUUUGAGCUUUCAUACUAGUUGGGAAGCAAGCUGUCACCAUUUAUACUCAAUUCUCUUCAACUGUUUAUAUCUUGGUAAAUCUUUUGAGUAGGAAAUGCUGCUCCUAACUUAUCUUCAAAUACUGAGUUCCUUACCUCAUUUGUUCAACUUUUUUUUUUGUUGUUAGCAUUGAAGCACAAGUUUUACAGGCUUAUUCAGAAUUUCCUAUCAGUCGUUUUGUUUGACAUUUAUCCCAAUAAUUGUUCUAGUGAUUUAAUUUGUAUGGAAACUCCCAAGGUUCAAUUUCUUUUUCUUUUUGAGAUGGAGUCUUGCUCUUUGGCCCAGGCUGGAGUGCAGUGAUGUGAUCUCAGCUCCAUCUCCCAGGUUCAAGCAAUUCUCCCACCUCAGUCUCCUGAAUAGCUGGGACAGGUACGCACCACCGUGCCCAGCUAAUUUUUGUAUUUUUAGCAGAGACGGUGUUAGCCCGGCUGGUCUCACACUGACCUCAAGUGAUCUGUACGCCUUGGCCUCCCAAAGUGCCGGGAUUACAGGCAUGAGCCACCGCGCCCAGCCUCAUUGAAAAUUUACUUUUCAAUACCAGACUGCAGAGUUCUUUGGGGCAGAGACACUCUGUCAGUGUGCUCUUUUUCCAAAGUAUCUCCUGCUAUCAGUUUUUCCCCUUGAACCAAGUCUUCCUAACAAAUUUGUGUCAUUGCUUUCUAGGGAACUGGACCAGCAAAUGUGGCCUUUAGUGGUUAAUCUCAUCUGUGCCAAAAUUUAGUUGCUACCACAGAGUGAAAUUUGGUGUGUAAAUAAUGUUCAGAGGAAAUGUGGUUGGAGUGCAGUAACUUGAAUAGUGUCGUGCAUAGAAAACAGCUCAUUCUGAGUGAAACUGUUUAUGUCCAAUCAGUUCCUGAGUCAGCAUCCCACUGGUUCGAAAAUCUGUAACUAAUCUGGUAAUGUCCUUAAUUUCCUCCUGCCUGUCAGUGUUCCAAAGUGUUCAUCUAGUUUUCUUUUAUCUUUAUAAUAAUUACUACCAUCUUUGAAAGCUCUGUUUAAGAAAUGCUUAAUGGGCAAUGCAGGUUAGUAACUCCAGGGUCUGCGUGGCCUAGGCAGGUGAGAUGGACAACUGCCUCAUUACAGAAGCUUUUUAUCAUCAAACUAGUAAGUUUUGUGGAGGGCAAGCUAUAUAGAUUGUUGAUGAGUGGUUAGAAAAUAAUCUGGAAUUUAGCCAGUUGAGAAGCUACAGAAGUUUCUAUUUUUUUUACAGUGGAUGAACUGUUUUGCUUUUUCUGAUAAAGCCACUAGGUAUAUCUAAAUAACAACCUCGGGCUGGACGUGGUGCCUUAUACCUGUAUAUGUGAACACUGGGAGGCAGAGGCGGGUGGAUCAUGAGGUCAAGAGUUCGAGACCAGCCUGGCCAACACAGUGAAACCCCGUCUCUACUAAUACAAAUUUUUUUUGUUUUGAGACAGUCUCGCUCUGUCGCCCAGGCUGGAGUGCAGUGGCUCGAUCUCAGCUCACUGCAACCUCCACCUUCUGGGUUCAAGCGAUUCUCCUGCCUCAGCCUCCCGAGUAGCUGGGAAUACAGGCGCGUGUCAACACACCCGGCUUAAGUUUUUGUAUUUUUAGUAGAGACGGGGUGUCACCGUGUUACCCAAGAUGGUCUCCAUCUCCUGACCUUCUGAUCCACCAGCCUUUGCCUCCCAAAGUGCUGGGAUUACAGGCAUAAGCCACCGCGCCCAGCCUACCAAUACAAAAUUUAGCUAGGCAUGGUGGCACGUGCCUGUUAUCACAGCUACUCGGGAGGCUGAGGCAGGAGAAUCGCUUGAACACAGGAGGCAGAAGUUGCGGUAAGCAGAGAUCGUGCCAC
This 5918-nucleotide small RNA is filed under the name Pan troglodytes (chimpanzee). RNAcentral's name for it is "retained intron". Lineage: Eukaryota; Metazoa; Chordata; Mammalia; Primates; Hominidae. The record is from RNAcentral.